GACGAACGCUGGCGGCGUGCUUAACACAUGCAAGUCGAACGGAAAGGCCCUGCUUUUGUGGGGUGCUCGAGUGGCGAACGGGUGAGUAACACGUGAGUAACCUGCCCUUGACUUUGGGAUAACUUCACGAAACUGGGGCUAAUACCGGGUAGGAGCUCCUGCUGCAUGGUGGGGGUUGGAAAGUUUCGGCGGUUGGGGAUGGACUCGCGGCUUAUCAGCUUGUUGGUGGGGUAGUGGCUUACCAAGGCUUUGACGGGUAGCCGGCCUGAGAGGGUGACCGGCCACAUUGGGACUGAGAUACGGCCCAGACUCCUACGGGAGGCAGCAGUGGGGAAUAUUGCACAAUGGGCGGAAGCCUGAUGCAGCAACGCCGCGUGCGGGAUGACGGCCUUCGGGUUGUAAACCGCUUUCGCCUGUGACGAAGCGUGAGUGACGGUAAUGGGUAAAGAAGCACCGGCUAACUACGUG
This 468-nucleotide ribosomal RNA is filed under the name uncultured bacterium. Its description in RNAcentral is "partial 16S ribosomal RNA". It matches the Rfam family "Bacterial small subunit ribosomal RNA", at positions 28 to 507 of the family's 1533-position model. The record is from RNAcentral.